ACUCCAAGAAGUUAACACGCCUUUUUUAGAAUAGGAUAUUUAAACUUAUUUCAAUCUUUUCAUAGAUUCUUUGAUUUGUAAAAGGAGUUCGCGUUUGCCGGUUACGCGAAGAAAAACUUCUCGAUCUCGAUUUGAAUGACAAACCCCACGGUGACUUUUCCGCCGGUUCCCGCGAUCCCUCGGCGUGCGAUCUGAACAUUAGAAUCUCAGAGGAGGACUCUGAGAGAUCAAUCUGAAAUCUAACACCUUUGUGUCUAAGCGCGGUUAAAUAUAGUUUGCGCAUCCUUUACAUUCCAGCAGCGCAGUUUGCGAGCAGACCUUCACUUUCGAUCACUCGUAACUCAAGGACUCAAGGACUAUGGAUGUGCCUGAACAGUCUCGAGAGAAAGAGUGAGAGAGCAAUUCACUGUCUCAAGAGAGAGAGAGAGAGGAAGGCUCGACUUUGAAUUAGUUGAACAAUUUUCUGUUAAAUUAUUAAAGUCGCGGUUACUCUUUAUCGCACAUUUAUCGCAUUUGACGAUUUUGUAUAUUAUAAGUACAUAUUUUAUAUAAAGAGAACAAUAAAUUUCGAGGAUCUGGAUGGAUAGGCGACAGGCAGGACCCUCCACAUUGAACCGCGCCAUUUCCCGCUGAUUUAAUGUCUUUCUCUUUGCAAACUUUUGUACAAUAGAUAUAAUAAUCGUGAGGCUCGAAAUUUGAAGAUCAGGUAGAAAGUAGGUGUCGUGUAUCUUUUUCUUUCUGUUACACUUCACUCUUUUUUUAUUAAGGAGAAAACGAGUUACAUGACAUCUGUCUUUUUCUACCUGAUUUUCACUGCCAGUAGAGAACACGCUCGGUCUAUUCUUACUAUAGCUAUAUAUAAUGCAAACCAAUAACCAUAAAGAUGAUCGGACGACAUGUUGGAAAACUAAAAAAUAUGAAAGGAACUCCAAAAUAGGAAAGGAAGUUAUUAUAUUAUAUUGGACACAAUAAAUUAGGUGUCUGCAAAAGUUCCUUAUUAGGUCAUCUUUCUUCCUUCUAAGGGUGAUCACGCUCACUGUCCACAAGAAGUAGAACAGUAGGGUUUCGAUCAAUCGCGUUGCUCGAUACAGUUGGCUCAGAUCGAGCAACGCAAUUGGUCGAAACCUUACUACGCCCUAAAUCUUUCUCAAAUAUUUCUCUUUCUUUUCUGUUUUCAAAUGGCGGGAAUCCCGCGGGAUACUAUUAACUCCAAGCUGCAAACCUCGGAGUAGCCGCGACUUUAAUUGUAACAGGAAAUUUUUCAACGUAAACUAUAAUAAAGGCAAUUAAAAUUGCAAGUCACUCAACAUACGAUUCUUUUAUCAUCGCUAAAUAAAAUACAAAUUGUGUUUGAAAAAUGUAGGACAGAAGGAACAGUUUCAACGAAUGUCCGACAUUAUUUUACAGACAACAACACUUUAUCUGCUGUACACAGCUGGGAUAAAAUUAAUCGUAAUCGCGCGGCGCACGAUUGUUGCAACCAAAGUCGAGGCCACCCGCGGCACUUGUUGCGAAGGAAAACUAUGAUUGCGAGAUAAUAAAGCUCUUUUUUCCCGUGGCCGCGACGAGAGGCGCGAUUAUCUCGCUUGGACUCGCAGGUUGCAGUUUAUUAAUGGAUCUCGCGCGCGCGCGCGUUUAUUUAAGUCGCUUUUGCAGAUUUACACGGCGGGUAGGUCGCAAAAGUUCACCGGUGCGUACAUGCGCGCCGAGCUAAAGGUUAAUAUUCCCGCGGCUGCAAAUAGAUUUCAAUGCGCGUGAUUCGUGGACUCGAUUAUAACCGUGGUAUUCCUUGACCUUAAGUGAAUCGAGUGCUCUUCAAGUGCCCGGCAUUUGUCAGGCUCACGGCCGCAGCGCAACACGUCCGCAGCGAUGUGUAUACGGAGUGUCCCGUGAAGACCGGAUCAACGCUUAAGGCAUCAGCACUAUUGCGGUCCACUGUUGCGGUUGCGGCGCGACGUCACAUCCGUCUCCAUCGGAAUUCAUCGGCGCACCAUUCUCGACCUAAUUCCGCGUACGUCCCACGUUGAUGUCGACGACGAUGCAUCAUAAAAAGACGAAGACGUCGCCGCGCGUUGAGGAGGAUGUCCACCGACGCGAUUUCCCAGCCGAGGUCCCCGGCUCUAUAAGGUCCAUGAGGUGCGGUGUCCCAGUGAGGCGGAUGUUCCACAGGUGGAUGUCCGUAGUGCACAACCUCGUA
Ooceraea biroi (clonal raider ant) is the source of this 2197-nucleotide long non-coding RNA. RefSeq lists it as uncharacterized. Lineage: Eukaryota; Metazoa; Arthropoda; Insecta; Hymenoptera; Formicidae. The record is from RefSeq and is a predicted model, not a curated record.